Capsicum annuum is the source of this 1025-nucleotide long non-coding RNA. RefSeq lists it as uncharacterized. The transcript has 6 exons. Lineage: Eukaryota; Viridiplantae; Streptophyta; Magnoliopsida; Solanales; Solanaceae. The record is from RefSeq and is a predicted model, not a curated record.
AUUUGUUUUCCCUUUUCUCCACUGUAUUUCCUACCCACCUUGACACCAAAACACAAGCUUCAAACAAAAUUUUUAUUGGAUUCAUAUCAUGUUCUUAAUCUCAGUUUUCAUUACUCCUUCAUGAUUUAUGUUAGAAAUUCUCGACAUUGUUAUUAUUGCGGCUUGCUUAUCAGAGUCUUGGAGUAGUGUAUGGUGACCUUGGGACAUCUCCCUUGUAUGUCUACAAUAAUACAUUUCCCCACGGAAUUGGCGAUCCGGAAGAUGUCAUUGGAGCACUCUCAUUAAUUAUUUACUCUCUUACGCUUAUCCCUCUCCUCAAGUAUGUUUUCAUAGUAUGUAGAGCAAAUGACAAUGGCCAAGAAUACUUGAAGCUGAAUCCCCUAGCAUACGUGCCCACGCUGGUUGAUGGAGAUGCAGUAAUUGUCGACUCUUUUGCUAUCAUAAUGUAUCUGGAAGAGAAGUAUCCCCAACGAGCAUUGUUGCCUCAGGAUCAUCAGAAAAAAGCAAUCAACUAUCAGGGAGAGCGAGUAUGCUGCCUGGACCCUUGUCAAUGGAUAUGCGUUGAAUCAUGUUACCAUAUCUACCCAUUGCUUGAGAUCAAAUCUGAGAAGCAUCGGAAAACUAAAUCAAUUUAUUGAGGAAAAUGGUUUCAAUUUGAACUAUGAAGGGGGUAUUCUAAAAGGUUGGGACGCUGUACGGAAAAUGAGAAGAUGAGGCAAUCCUAAUAUUGGAUUUGUGUUGUACAACAAGUGAAAUUUCUUUUGUGACGUAUGCUGCUUAAGAAUGUAAGCUUCAACUUUGUUUUGCAUGCAUAAAAUAACAUGACUUAUAUCAUAUUUAUGUUGACUCGGUUUGAUGGUAUUGCUUCCUUUGUUUUGCUCUUUUAUAUAAAAAGAAUGGUAGGAAAAUGCCCGUACAAGGUACGGGCAUGGCCAUCUAGUAUGAAUAUAUAUGAAAAUUGUAAAUAAGGUAUACCCUAUACAAUUAGUUAUGCAGGAAAUUUGUUUUUAAGAUGUAUGUUGUUG